Molecule: long non-coding RNA, 1263 nt
Organism: Brienomyrus brachyistius
Lineage: Eukaryota; Metazoa; Chordata; Actinopteri; Osteoglossiformes; Mormyridae
Exons: 4
Source: RefSeq, a predicted model, not a curated record
UUUAAGAGGUUAAACUCAAUUGGCUUGAGUGAAGCCACGCCCUCUCAUCAGUGAAGAACAGGAAUAUUCCGGUUUUUCCAGGUUGCCUGAAAAAAUGUAGUCACGUAGUUUUCUUAGACGGUGAACAAGCUGUAUUACAAAGAGCAAAAAGUUUUUUCUUUUGGAGAUACACCGAAAUAUUAAAGAAAUAUUCAGAGAGCGAGACAACAUUGGUUGUGAUGGCUGAACGUUUUUUCCUGCUACUAGUCACCCAUGAGGCACGGAGCAGCCGCGUGAGCACAUUUUGACCAGAGGUCAGGUCCUUUUAGCGGGAACCUAAACUUCCUGGAGCUGCAUUCGAAUAUCGUUGGAUGUCGAUGCUGGAACUGGCGUGGACAGGAAGUUGGGGGAGGUACUCAAUGGAAGGGUAAAUACCAGUGACCUCAGCAGACCAGCUAAUCAUCCACAUCCCACCAGUUUGCAAGUGGACCAACCUUUGUGAAGAACUUGUGGCCACGGAUAUUCUGCGGUGACGGGCGAUCCCGUGGGUCGAUUUGAAAUAUUUUGCCCAUCAGUUUCCCAGCUUCAAUACCGAGGUUCUGGUGUAGAAUAAAUUUAGCUUCUUUGAUGUUCUUUAUCAUUUCACAGCGAUCGUCGUGAUCGAAUGGGAUUUCCCCAACCAGAAGCUGGUACCUGUAGUAAGAAAGGCAGCAAAGGUGUUUGAGGUCUUUCACAUUUGACAUAAAAAUGCUGUGCUUCCAAAAGAGCAAUUCCUCUCAACUGUGUGCCAGUAUUCAUUUUUCUUUUCUAUUUCAAGUAGAAAAAAAAAAAACAUAUUUAUGCAUGUUAGACGCUUGUCUUCUUAAAAUGUUAGACAGAUUUUAUUAGCCAUGCUGAUCUUUGGCCGGGAGGAGGGUUGAUAGGGUAUACGUACAUGACACAGCCCAGUGCCCAGACUUCUGCUUCCGUUCCAUGUCCCUCUCGUUUCCACACUUCUGGAGCCAUGUAACAUGGAGUACCACACACUUCUCUACAACACACACAAAUGGAAAACGUUAAGCGCACAUGUGCUUUAGCUUGCUGUAUAAACAAAUUUGAAAGCUUAGCCAGGAAUUCUGCAAAAAACACCUACUUGUCCCUCGGCUCCAGCUUGAUCGCCAGUCCGAAAUCCCCAAUUUUCAGUUUCAUUUGGUCACUGACAAAUAAGUUUUCUGAAAGACAAACAAAUUUGCAUUAAGGAUAGACUCAAAUACACACGUGGACAAAAUUGUUGGUACCCUUCAG